UAGCUCAGUGGUACAGCACUUGCCUAGCACGCAUGAGGCCCUAGGUUCUAUCCCUAG
This 57-nucleotide transfer RNA is filed under the name Heterocephalus glaber (naked mole-rat). It matches the Rfam family "tRNA", at positions 8 to 63 of the family's 71-position model. From Rfam's summary of the family: Transfer RNA (tRNA) molecules are approximately 80 nucleotides in length. The record is from Rfam by way of RNAcentral. Lineage: Eukaryota; Metazoa; Chordata; Mammalia; Rodentia; Bathyergidae.